This is a non-coding RNA of Podospora appendiculata, 90 nucleotides long. NCBI's taxonomy places the organism in Eukaryota, Fungi, Ascomycota, Sordariomycetes, Sordariales, Podosporaceae. The record is from the annotation of a GenBank genome assembly.
GGGUGUGUGGUCUAGUGGUAUGAUUUCUGUUUCGCAACACUCGCUUUGCAUUUCUACAGACGGUCCCCGGUUCGAUCCCGGGCACAUCCA